Molecule: unclassified non-coding RNA, 344 nt
Filed under: soil metagenome
Description: partial contains 5.8S ribosomal RNA, internal transcribed spacer 2, and large subunit ribosomal RNA
Rfam family: 5.8S ribosomal RNA (bases 1-120)
Source: RNAcentral
GAUGAAGAACGCAGCGAAAUGCGAUACGUAAUUUGAAUUGCAGAAUUCAGUGAAUCAUCGAGUCUUUGAACGCACAUUGCGCCCCCUGGUAUUCCGGGGGGCAUGCCUGUCCGAGCGUCAUUGCUGCCCUCAAGCACGGCUUGUGUGUUGGGCCUCCGUCCUCCUCCCGGGGGACGGGCCCGAAAGGCAGCGGCGGCACCGCGUCCGGUCCUCGAGCGUAUGGGGCUUCGUCACCCGCUCUUGUAGGCCCGGCCGGCGCUUGCCGACACAUCAAUCUUUUUUCCAGGUUGACCUCGGAUCAGGUAGGGAUACCCGCUGAACUUAAGCAUAUCAAUAAGCGAGGA